CCCUUCCCCGUGCACAGGGCCAAGGAAAGAGUUAAGCAGGGAGGGAAGGUUAACAAGGUGGAGGAGACUCCACUUUCCCAGGGCUGGAGUGCAGGUCACAGACCGUGGGUUGGAAAGGAAGGAAGCAGAUAAACUAUUACUGUCAUCUCCAAGUCCUGAGUGAUUGAAGUUGGACAAGAGUAGGUGUAUUGCUCAAGGACAAGGAGCACACAAGUCCCCAAAUGAUUUCCAAACCUCACAAAGGAUGAAGGUGGGCACUCUCACAGAUGGCCAAAGGGGGUGCAGAGCAGUACACUCAAUUGUGCCAGGUACAAUUGUGCCCAAGCUGGACCAAGCUCUCCCACGGCUGUUGUCUUGCUCUUGUGUUAUAAUCUUUUUGGACCUUGUUGUUCUAGUGGGAAGAUUAGUUCUCCCUGAGUUCAUGGUUGUAUUUUAGAUUUAGAAUACAAUUUUUUGGAUCUGAGAAGAAAAAAAACACACAAACAUUGUUUAAGCUAUUGUUUUUUAAAACACUGAUCAUAUUUGUCUCUGUGUAUUUGGUUGAUUUGAUUUUGUAUUCUUUCCAUUUUCAUGUGCCUCUGCAGUUCCUACUGCACACAGCCAAAGUAGCUGCAAGAUAUCCUUUUUCUUGGUAUAUUGACGCUUCUGGAUCCAUCUCAACAAAAGGAAGAAAAUGAACAAUAAUACAAACAUUAUGAAAUCAAUGAGAAC
Molecule: long non-coding RNA, 711 nt
Organism: Oxyura jamaicensis (ruddy duck)
Lineage: Eukaryota; Metazoa; Chordata; Aves; Anseriformes; Anatidae
Exons: 3
Source: RefSeq, a predicted model, not a curated record